AUGAGAGUCAGCUCAGUGGGAAAGCAUCUGUUUUGCAUGCAGUAGGUUCUGAGUUCAAUGCCUGGUAUCCUCAGUUGUUGUU
This 82-nucleotide transfer RNA is filed under the name Sphaerodactylus townsendi. RNAcentral's name for it is "tRNA-Ala". The record is from RNAcentral. Lineage: Eukaryota; Metazoa; Chordata; Lepidosauria; Squamata; Sphaerodactylidae.